Molecule: ribosomal RNA, 776 nt
Filed under: uncultured Neocallimastigales
Lineage: Eukaryota; Fungi; Neocallimastigomycota; Neocallimastigomycetes; Neocallimastigales
Description: partial large subunit ribosomal RNA
Rfam family: Eukaryotic large subunit ribosomal RNA
Source: RNAcentral
CGCAUCUGUGCAUGCAGCAUAUCAAUAAGCGGAGGAAAAGAAACUAACAAGGAUUCCCCUAGUAACGGCGAGUGAAGCGGGAAGAGCUCAAAUUUGAAAUCUUAAAGGGUUUCCCUUUACGAAUUGUAGUUUAAAGAAGUGUUUUCUGUUGAGGUUUUGGUAAAAGUUCUUUGGAAUAGGACAUCAUAGAGGGUGAGAAUCCCGUAUUUGACCUUUACUUUCAACUUUGUGAUACACUUUCAAAGAGUCGGAUUGUUUGGGAAUGCAGUCCAAAAUGGGUGGUAAAUUUCAUCUAAAGCUAAAUAUUGGCGAGAGACCGAUAGCGAACAAGUACCGUGAGGGAAAGAUGAAAAGAACUUUGAAAAGAGAGGUUAAACAGUACGUGAAAUUGUCAAAAGGGAAGCGUUUGACACCAGUGUUGUUUUUCUGAAAAUCAAUUAAAGAACUGUUUAUGCUAAGCUUGUUUAGACUUUAUCAGCUAACUGUUUAGUUUUGAGCUUUUCUUUAAUGCACUUUUCAGUUAACAAGUCAACAUCAAUUUCUUUUGCUGUAAAAAAGCUUGAGGAAGGUGGCUUGAGAUUCGUCUUAAGUGUUUAUAGCCUCUUGCCUAUGCAGUCGGAGAGAUUGAGGUCUGCAGCGUAGAUCCUUCGGGGCUAAAUGCAUUUGUGCUAAGUUAUAGCAUUUUAUAGACAACUUGUUGACUAUGAUUUGUCUUGUAGCUUACUCGCUUAUGUUAUUUUACCUACGCUUAGGAUGUUGAGCGCAUGUCUCUCUCU